RNAcentral lists this ribosomal RNA (252 nucleotides) under uncultured bacterium. RNAcentral's name for it is "partial 16S ribosomal RNA". It matches the Rfam family "Bacterial small subunit ribosomal RNA", at positions 524 to 776 of the family's 1533-position model. The record is from RNAcentral.
UACGAAGGGGCUAGCGUUGCUCGGAAUCACUGGGCGUAAAGCGCACGUAGGCGGCUUUCUAAGUCAGGGGUGAAAUCCUGGAGCUCAACUCCAGAACUGCCUUUGAUACUGGCGACCUUGAGUCCGGGAGAGGUGAGUGGAACUGCGAGUGUAGAGGUGAAAUUCGUAGAUAUUCGCAAGAACACCAGUGGCGAAGGCGGCUCACUGGCCCGGUACUGACGCUGAGGUGCGAAAGCGUGGGGAGCAAACAGG